UUGGUCGAAAGCUAAUAUCAUUGUGCGAAUGAGAGCGGCGGGAAUCGUUAGAUGUUCAACUUUUUCGAAUGAGGUGCCAUAGUGGAUUUUCGGAUUGUACCAAGUUAACACGAAAUCUUUGUCGUCUCGUUAUUACAAGUAUUUAGUCCAUUUUUUUCUAAUGUACACAUCUUUUUUACAUAUCUAACGAUUCCUUACAAUAUGUUUUCUAAUAUGCAGUAUUCGCAAGUCAAAGUAUUAUCGGGUUAAACAAAUAUUCGUGAAAACAAAAUUCAGCGUUUAGGUGUCCUCUCGAAAGUUAUAAUGUAAAUCUUCAAAUUGAAGUUGUCGAGCGCCAUCAUUAAAAUCGAAUGUUCGAUAUUCUUGCAAUUAUCGAAUAUAUCGAAAUCUAUCGAAACGGCGUUCGUAUUCCGACAAGUGAAAGACAUCGAAAUUCUCUCUUCCCUAUUUCCGAGCAUUGUCCAAUGCGUUCGAGUCCAACACUAAUACAUAUACUCAGUUAAAUAACUGUGUUUAAUUUUUUUUCAUCGCAAAUUUAUCGAGGACUAUCUCGAGCGAAGGUGAAAACAAAACAACAGCCGAACUCUCGACACUCUCAAGGAUAAACAGUAACGUCGAUCUCAUUCCCCUUCCGUCCUUCGACACGUAAAGAUCGGC
Molecule: long non-coding RNA, 657 nt
Organism: Polistes dominula (European paper wasp)
Lineage: Eukaryota; Metazoa; Arthropoda; Insecta; Hymenoptera; Vespidae
Source: RefSeq, a predicted model, not a curated record